GAUGAACGCUGGCGGCGUGCCUAAUACAUGCAAGUCGAGCGAACGGACGAGAAGCUUGCUUCUCUGAUGUUAGCGGCGGACGGGUGAGUAACACGUGGAUAACCUACCUAUAAGACUGGGAUAACUUCGGGAAACCGGAGCUAAUACCGGAUAAUAUUUUGAACCGCAUGGUUCAAAAGUGAAAGACGGUCUUGCUGUCACUUAUAGAUGGAUCCGCGCUGCAUUAGCUAGUUGGUAAGGUAACGGCUUACCAAGGCAACGAUGCAUAGCCGACCUGAGAGGGUGAUCGGCCACACUGGAGCUGAGACGCGGUCCAGACUCCUACGGGAGGCAGCAGUAGGGAAUCUUCCGCAACGGUCGAAAGCCUGACGGAGCAACGCCGCGUGAGUGAUGAAGGUCUUCGGAUCGUAAAACUCUGUUAUUAGGGAAGAACAUAUGUGUAAGUAACUGUGCACAUCUUGACGGUACCUAAUCAGAAAGCCACGGCUAACUACGUG
Molecule: ribosomal RNA, 497 nt
Filed under: uncultured bacterium
Lineage: Bacteria
Description: partial 16S ribosomal RNA
Rfam family: Bacterial small subunit ribosomal RNA
Source: RNAcentral